This 439-nucleotide ribosomal RNA is filed under the name uncultured bacterium. RNAcentral describes it as "partial 16S ribosomal RNA". It matches the Rfam family "Bacterial small subunit ribosomal RNA", at positions 339 to 795 of the family's 1533-position model. The record is from RNAcentral.
CUACGGGGGGCACCAGUGAGGAAUAUUGCACAAUGGGGGGAACCCUGAUGCAGCAACGCCGCGUGGAGGAUGACGCAUUUCGGUGUGUAAACUCCUUUUAUAUGUCAAGAAAAUGACGGUAGCAUAUGAAUAAGCACCGGCUAACUCCGUGCCAGCAGCCGCGGUAAUACGGAGGGUGCAAGCGUUACUCGGAAUCACUGGGCGUAAAGGACGCGUAGGCGGGUUGGAAAGUCAGGUGUGAAAUCCUACAGCUUAACUGUAGAACUGCACUUGAAACUUCUAAUCUAGAGUAUGGGAAGGGGAGAUGGAAUUAGUGGUGUAGGGGUAAAAUCCGUAGAUAUCACUAGGAAUACCUAAAGCGAAGGCGAUCUCCUGGAACAUUACUGACGCUAAGGCGUGAAAGCGUGGAGAGCAAACAGGAUUAGAUACCCUCGUAGUC